GCUGCUUGGGAAACGAACAUUAGUUCUACUGAAAAUCUUUCUAACCCCCCCCACAACAAAGGAUAAGGAAAAAUUUUCAAGUUACUUAAUAGAGGUACAGCUCUAUUAACACAGGACUCAACCUCCGCUUAAGGGUAAUCUAUCUUUAUAAUUUACUGUAGGCCUUAAAGCAGCCACCACAAAAAAGCGUCAAAGCUUCCCCCUUAAAGAUCCCAACAACACCUCGAACCCUUCAUUAUCCACCAAGCCCAUCUAUAAUAUUAGAAAAGACAAUGCUAAAAUAAGUAAUAAGAAAAUGACCUUCUCUUUGGCGUCAACUUACAUCCUGCCUGACACCCUACAAAUUAUUAACAGCCACCUCCCCACAACCACCACGAGGUCAAAAGAAGACCUCAUCUGUUAACCCAACACAGGAGCGCCAAAAGAAAGGCUGAACCUUGCAAAAGGAACUCGGCAAGCAAAGAUUCCGACUGUUUACCAAAAACAUAGCCCUCUAGCCCAUUUAGUAUUGAGGGUGAUACCUGCCCAAUGACUACAGGUUGAAUGGCCGCGGUAUUUAUA
RNAcentral lists this ribosomal RNA (561 nucleotides) under Caiman crocodilus (spectacled caiman). RNAcentral describes it as "partial 16S ribosomal RNA". The record is from RNAcentral. Lineage: Eukaryota; Metazoa; Chordata; Crocodylia; Alligatoridae.